RNAcentral lists this ribosomal RNA (460 nucleotides) under uncultured bacterium. RNAcentral describes it as "partial 16S ribosomal RNA". It matches the Rfam family "Bacterial small subunit ribosomal RNA", at positions 338 to 795 of the family's 1533-position model. The record is from RNAcentral.
CCUACGGGUGGCUGCAGUGAGGAAUAUUGGUCAAUGGGCGCGAGCCUGAACCAGCCAAGUAGCGUGAAGGAUGACUGCCCUACGGGUUGUAAACUUCUUUUAUAAAGGAAUAAAGUGAGGCACGUGUGCCUGUUUGUAUGUACUUUAUGAAUAAGGAUCGGCUAACUCCGUGCCAGCAGCCGCGGUAAUACGGAGGAUCCGAGCGUUAUCCGGAUUUAUUGGGUUUAAAGGGAGCGUAGAUGGGUUGAUAAGUUAGUUGUGAAAUUUUGCGGCGCAACCGUAAAAUUGCCAUUGAUACUGGCCGUCUUGAGUACAGUUGAGGUAGGCGGAAUGCGUGGUGUAGCGGUGAAAUGCUUAGAGAUCACGCAGAACUCCGAUUGCGAAGGCAGCUUACUAAGCUGCCACUGACAUUGAUGCUCGAAAGUGUGGGUAUCAAACAGGAUUAGAUACCCCUGUAGUC